CAAGUCGAACGCGAUUACCUCGCAAGGGGUAACUGAGUGGCAAACGGGUGAGUAACACGUGGGUGACCUACCUUCGAGUGGGGGAUAACGUCCCGAAAGGGACGCUAAUACCGCAUAACAUCCUGCCUUUGAACAGGUGGAGAUCAAAGCUGGGGAUCGUAAGACCUAGCGCUUGAUGAGGGGCCCGCGUCUGAUUAGCUAGUUGGUGAGGUAACGGCCCACCAAGGCAACGAUCAGUAUCCGGCCUGAGAGGGCGGACGGACACACUGGGACUGAGACACGGCCCAGACUCCUACGGGAGGCAGCAGUGGGGAAUUGUUCACAAUGGGCGCAAGCCUGAUGACGCAACGCCGCGUGGAGGAUGAAGGUCUUCGGAUUGUAAACUCCUGUUGCUCGGGACGAAAAGCUUCGACCUAACACGUCGAGGUCUGACGGUACCGAGUGAGGAAGCCCCGGCUAACUCUGUGCCAGCAGCCGCGGUAAUACAGAGGGGGCAAGCGUUGUUCGGAAUUACUGGGCGUAAAGGGCGCGUAGGCGGCCCGCUAAGUCGAACGUGAAAUCCCCGAGCUCAACUCGGGAACUGCGUCCGAUACUGGCGGGCUUGAAUCCGGGAGAGGGAUGCGGAAUUCCAGGUGUAGCGGUGAAAUGCGUAGAUAUCUGGAGGAACACCGGUGGCGAAGGCGGCAUCCUGGACCGGCAUUGACGCUGAGGCGCGAAAGCUAGGGGAGCAAACGGGAUUAGAUACCCCGGUAGUCCUAGCCCUAAACGAUGAAUGCUUGGUGUGGCGGGUAUCGAUCCCUGCCGUGCCGAAGCUAACGCAUUAAGCAUUCC
This 831-nucleotide ribosomal RNA is filed under the name uncultured Acidobacteriota bacterium. RNAcentral describes it as "bacterial SSU rRNA". It matches the Rfam family "Bacterial small subunit ribosomal RNA", at positions 58 to 870 of the family's 1533-position model. The record is from RNAcentral. Lineage: Bacteria; Pseudomonadati; Acidobacteriota.